GCCCGAAGAUGUCUAAUGGUUAUGAUAUCAGACUUCUAAUCUGAAGGUUCCGGGUUCAAGUCCCGGCGUGGGUU
Molecule: transfer RNA, 74 nt
Filed under: Thelephora terrestris
Lineage: Eukaryota; Fungi; Basidiomycota; Agaricomycetes; Thelephorales; Thelephoraceae
Description: tRNA-Arg
Rfam family: tRNA (bases 11-66)
About the family: Transfer RNA (tRNA) molecules are approximately 80 nucleotides in length.
Source: RNAcentral